GAGUUUGAUCCUGGCUCAGGAUGAACGCUGGCGGCGUGCUUAACACAUGCAAGUCGAACGGGGCCGCCAUUUUUGAAGCGAUUAGCUUGCUAAGAGUGGAAAUGUUGGCGGCUUAGUGGCGGACGGGUGAGUAACGCGUGGGUAGCCUGCCAUAUACAGGGGGAUAACACUUAGAAAUAGGUGCUAAUACCGCAUAAGCGCACGGAGCUGCAUGGCUCAGUGUGAAAAACUCCGGUGGUAUAUGAUGGACCCGCGUCUGAUUAGCUUGUUGGCGGGGUAACGGCCCACCAAGGCGACGAUCAGUAGCCGGCCUGAGAGGGUGGACGGCCACAUUGGGACUGAGACACGGCCCAAACUCCUACGGGAGGCAGCAGUGGGGAAUAUUGGACAAUGGGGGGAACCCUGAUCCAGCGACGCCGCGUGAGUGAAGAAGUAUCUCGGUAUGUAAAGCUCUAUCAGCAGGGAAGAAAGAAAUGACGGUACCUGACCAAGAAGCCCCGGCUAACUACGUGCCAGCAGCCGCGGUAAUACGUAGGGGGCAAGCGUUAUCCGGAUUUACUGGGUGUAAAGGGAGCGUAGACGGUAAUGCAAGUCUGGAGUGAAAUGCAGGGGCUCAACCCCUGAACUGCUU
This 631-nucleotide ribosomal RNA is filed under the name uncultured bacterium. RNAcentral describes it as "bacterial SSU rRNA". It matches the Rfam family "Bacterial small subunit ribosomal RNA", at positions 9 to 626 of the family's 1533-position model. The record is from RNAcentral.